GUGAGGAAUAUUGGUCAAUGGGCGUGAGCCUGAACCAGCCAAGUCGCGUGAAGGAAGAAGGAUCUAUGGUUCGUAAACUUCUUUUGCAGGGGAAUAAAGUGCAGGACGUGUCCUGUUUUGUAUGUACCCUGAGAAUAAGGAUCGGCUAACUCCGUGCCAGCAGCCGCGGUAAUACGGAGGAUCCGAGCGUUAUCCGGAUUUAUUGGGUUUAAAGGGUGCGUAGGUGGUUUGAUAAGUCAGCGGUGAAAGUUUGCAGCUUAACUGUAAAAAUGCCGUUGAAACUGUCGGACUUGAGUGUAAAUGAGGUAGGCGGAAUGCGUGGUGUAGCGGUGAAAUGCAUAGAUAUCACGCAGAACUCCGAUUGCGAAGGCAGCUUACUAAGCUACAACUGACACUGAAGCACGAAAGCGUGGGGAUCAAACAGGAUUAGAAACCCCUGUAGUCC
This 445-nucleotide ribosomal RNA is filed under the name uncultured bacterium. RNAcentral describes it as "partial 16S ribosomal RNA". It matches the Rfam family "Bacterial small subunit ribosomal RNA", at positions 354 to 796 of the family's 1533-position model. The record is from RNAcentral.